RNAcentral lists this ribosomal RNA (432 nucleotides) under uncultured bacterium. RNAcentral's name for it is "partial 16S ribosomal RNA". It matches the Rfam family "Bacterial small subunit ribosomal RNA", at positions 28 to 507 of the family's 1533-position model. The record is from RNAcentral.
AACGAACGCUGGCGGCAGGCUUAACACAUGCAAGUCGAACGCCCCGCCCGGGGAGUGGCUGACGGGUGGGUAACGCGUGGGAACAUACCCUUUUCUACGGACUAGCGCUGGGAAAUUGGAAUUAAUACGGUAUACGCCUUCCGGGGGAAAGAUUUUUCGGGGUGGGAUUGGCGCGCGUGUUAUUUCCGCGUUGGUGGGGUAAGGGCCCUCCAAGGCGACGAUCCAUAGCUUGGCUGAGAGGGGGAUCGGCCACACUGGGACUGAGACACGGCCCCAACACCUACGGGGGAGAGGAGUGGGGGAUAUUUUGGAAAGGGGGGAAGACCGACGCAGCGACGCCGCGGGGGGGAGGACGGCCUUCGGGUUUUAAAACUCUUUUGACCCGGACAAAUUAGGACGGUAGGGGGAGAAGAAGCCCCGGCCAACUACGUG